CACGUAAGUUGCGAGCGUUGUUCGGAAUUAUUGGGCGUAAAGGGCAUGUAGGCGGUCUUGCAAGUCUGGUGUGAAAUCCCGGGGCUCAACCCCGGAACUGCGUUGGAAACUGCAUGACUUGAGUCACUGAGGGGCAUCCAGAAUUCCAGGUGUAGGGGUGAAAUCUGUAGAUAUCUGGAAGAAUACCAAUGGCGAAGGCAGGGUGCCAGCAGAUGACUGACGCUGAGGUGCGAAGGUGCGGGGAGCAAAC
RNAcentral lists this ribosomal RNA (250 nucleotides) under uncultured prokaryote. Its description in RNAcentral is "partial 16S ribosomal RNA". It matches the Rfam family "Bacterial small subunit ribosomal RNA", at positions 524 to 773 of the family's 1533-position model. The record is from RNAcentral.